This 253-nucleotide ribosomal RNA is filed under the name uncultured bacterium. RNAcentral's name for it is "partial 16S ribosomal RNA". It matches the Rfam family "Bacterial small subunit ribosomal RNA", at positions 524 to 776 of the family's 1533-position model. The record is from RNAcentral.
UACGAAGGGGGCUAGCGUUGCCCGGAAUCACUGGGCGUAAAGCGCACGUAGGCGGCUUCUUAAGUCAGGGGUGAAAUCCUGGAGCUCAACUCCAGAACUGCCUUUGAUACUGAGGAGCUCGAGUCCGGGAGAGGUGAGUGGAACUCCGAGUGUAGAGGUGAAAUUCGUAGAUAUUCGGAAGAACACCAGUGGCGAAGGCGACACGCUGGGCCAUACCUGACGCUAAAGCGCGACAGCAUGGGGAGCAAACGGG